UUUCAGAAACAGAUGAAUCUGAUGACUUUCGAAGUAAACACAACCAACAGAUACCAAGUAAUGAAUUCGAUUUAGACUCCAAUUCACAUAAAAAUAACAGAACGAGAAGAAACGUUUUGACACCUAACUAAGUUGUUAUUAUUCAUGCAUGCAAACUAAGUGUGAGAAAGUCCACUGCUCUCGUUAAUGCUGCAGGAUCUGCAUAAAUGUUAACCUGAAAGAAGUGACUAUUAAUACGAGUUCAUUUCAUCGUGCUUAAACUCGCCUUCGGACUAAAAAUGCUGAUAAAGUGAAACAAGAAUUUGGCUAACUGUUCACUGGGACGGGAGAAGAUGAAAUUGAAGUGAAUGAAAGAAGUGAAUGUUAAUACGAGUUAAUUUCAUCGUGCUUAAACUCGCCUUCGGACUGAAAAUGCUGAAAAAGUGAAACAAGAAUUUGGCUAACUGUUCACUGGGACGGGAGAAGAUGAAAUUGAGCAUUACAAUAGAGGAAGGAUUGCCAGUUCUUAUCACUGGUUAUGGCCUUGAAAAUCAGCUGCUUGGAGAACCUAAGUAUAAUGAUGGCUCAGGUGAAGUGCAGGCUUGGGCCGUAAAAGAGAUGCUUGAUAAAUGGAGAAUCGAACACAGAGCGAUGUCGAAGCAAUGUGUACAAAUACAACUGCAUCAAAUACAGGUUGCAUUAUUGGUGCUUGUGUGAUGUUGGAAAGGAUCCCGUGAUUUAUUAUACAAAGCUUGUCGACGUCAUAUAUUUAAAGUUGUCCUGAAGGGUAUUUAUGAAGUGACAGUGGCAUUGUCUUCUGGUCCUGACAUUCCUCUUUUUAAAUGAUUCUUUUUAAAUAAUUCACGAGUAUUUGGGACAAGUGAAAACUGAAGACAAUUUCCAAAACCUUCUCCUUGUGUAUUUGCCAGUAAAUAAAUAAUAAUUUAACAGUCU
Molecule: long non-coding RNA, 933 nt
Organism: Drosophila ananassae
Lineage: Eukaryota; Metazoa; Arthropoda; Insecta; Diptera; Drosophilidae
Exons: 3
Source: RefSeq, a predicted model, not a curated record